RNAcentral lists this transfer RNA (73 nucleotides) under Hemidactylus bowringii. Its description in RNAcentral is "tRNA-Gln". It matches the Rfam family "tRNA". From Rfam's summary of the family: Transfer RNA (tRNA) molecules are approximately 80 nucleotides in length. Their secondary structure includes four short double-helical elements and three loops (D, anti-codon, and T loops). Further hydrogen bonds mediate the characteristic L-shaped molecular structure. tRNAs have two regions of fundamental functional importance: the anti-codon, which is responsible for specific mRNA codon recognition, and the 3' end, to which the tRNAs corresponding amino acid is attached (by aminoacyl-tRNA synthetases). tRNAs cope with the degeneracy of the genetic code in two manners: having more than one tRNA (with a specific anti-codon) for a particular amino acid; and 'wobble' base-pairing, i.e. permitting non-standard base-pairing at the 3rd anti-codon position. The record is from RNAcentral. Lineage: Eukaryota; Metazoa; Chordata; Lepidosauria; Squamata; Gekkonidae.
CUAAGAAGUAGUAUAAUGGGAGUACGCGAGGUUUUGAGUCUUGUAGUCCGGGUUCGUGUCCCGGUUUCUUUGG